CCUACGGGUGGCAGCAGUGGGGAAUAUUGCACAAUGGGGGACACCCUGAUGCAGCGACGCCGCGUGAGUGAAGAAGUAUUUAGGUAUGUAAAGCUCUAUCAGCAGGGACGAAAAAAGACGGUACCUAACUAAGUAGCCCCGGCUCACUACGUUCCAGCAGCCGCGGUAAUACGUAGGGGGCAAGCGUUAUCCGGAUUUACUGGGUGUAAAGGGAGUGUAGACGGGGCGGCAUGUCUGAAGUGAAAGGCAGGGGCUUAACCCAUGAACUGCUUGGGAAACUGGCAGGCUGGAGUGCCGGAGAGGCAGGCGGAAUGCCUAGUGUAGCGGUGAAAUGGGUAGAUAUUAGGAGGAAAACCAGGGGCGAAGGCGGCCUGCUGGACGGUGACUGACGCUGAGGCUCGAAAGCGUGGGGAGCAAACAGGAUUAGAUACCCCGGUAGUC
RNAcentral lists this ribosomal RNA (441 nucleotides) under uncultured bacterium. Its description in RNAcentral is "partial 16S ribosomal RNA". It matches the Rfam family "Bacterial small subunit ribosomal RNA", at positions 338 to 795 of the family's 1533-position model. The record is from RNAcentral.